Molecule: long non-coding RNA, 2563 nt
Organism: Gallus gallus (chicken)
Lineage: Eukaryota; Metazoa; Chordata; Aves; Galliformes; Phasianidae
Source: Ensembl
GGGGGCGACGCCGGGCCCUAAGCGCCUCCUCCGCCCCCGCCCCGCAGGCAGCGGGAGGACGGAUCGGGGCGGGGGGGGUCCGAGUGUCCCUAUCCCAGAUCCCGCCCCGACACCUCCCCGCGCCUCGGGACCUCCCCCGGCAGCCCUCCCCCCAUUCCUCUUCCCCCCCCCCCCCGCCCCCCCCAAAGUCUCCCUUCCCAAAUUCCUCCUCCCAAAUACCCCCGCAACUGUCCCACCUCCCAGCUAUCCCCCCCUCCCCCCCCCCGCCAAAUAUCCCUCCCCAAUAGGAACCCCCAAAGAUCCCCUCCCCGAUAUCCCCUCCCCAAAUACGCCUUCCCCAAACGCACCCCCCAAGUAACCCCCCUCCCAAGCACCCCCACCCAGAAACCUCCCCAAGUACCCCCCCACCAAAUGCCCCUCCCAAAUACCCCCCCACCCAAAAUACCUCCCCCUAACCCCCCCCCAAUACACUCUCCCCAAACCCUUUCCAUACACACCCAGAAAGUCUUCCCUCCCCAAACCACUCCUUAAAUACCCCAACCCCCCAAAUACCCUCUCCCAAACGCCCCCCCCAAAUAUUCCCUCACCAAAACACCCCCCCAAAUACCCCCUCCCCAAACGAUUGCCCCCCCCCCGAGGCAUAACCCCCCACCAUAUAUCCCCUACAUCACGAUAAAUGCCACUGUUCCCAAUUGGGAUCAAAAGCCACGGCUGUAUUUUCACCCUCUGUCUUCAUACCACCCCAAUGCUUCGAGUCCAGUCCUGCAGACGUCAGGGUUAGAUAAAACCCCUGUGAAAUGGCCCCAGGAGAGGGAUGUGGACCCAGAAGAGGAAUGUGGACCCCAAAGCCCCCUCAGCACCGCAGGCCUAACAGUGGGGUGAGGACAGAAUGCCCUCUCAGUCUUCAACUGUGCCCCAAAGUGGAGCAUUUCCCCCUUGGAGUCAAUGUGGGGACACCCAGAGAUGCUCAUCCCCAUCUCCCCUCGGGGAAGGAGGGGCACCCGAAGCCCCAUCCCUGCUUCCCUGUCGCUUUAAGUCCCGGCUGUGCGUUUUCCACGUGGAGAUUUUUUCCUUUUCUCCUUUUAUCCCUCCCUUCUUCCCCUGCCCGGACUAUGGGGCCAGCACAGGGUCGGAUGGGGAUGAGUGCCCGAGCGGGGCUCACUCCGGCACUGGGCGCCACCGUGGGGACCGAAGUGACCCCCGGGUCCCCCCACAGCUGCGUGCCCCCCGUUUCUUUCUUUCCCCGUCCUUCCCUCUGCGCUCCUCCCUUCUCCCCGCAGGGACUGGAAAUACCAGAGUUGAUGUCAUAGGCAGCGGUUCGCCAGGACGGGAAGCUCAGCCCAGCCUCCCCCUGCUGCGUCCCCGUGUCCUAUGGCUCUGUGUGGGGAUGCGGGGAUGUGGGGUCAUGGGGUUGCUCCCCAGCUCCCCAGCCCUGCACACAACCAGGUUGCGGGCACACAACCCCACAGCCGGCUUACCCCCCUCGGCUGUCCUCAGACCCCCCCUUGACUCCAAUACCCCAUACCUGGGUGUCCCACACGGCUCGCUGCCCCCUCCCCAAGCACGAAGGAGCACCGAGCAGUGCCAGCAGCUCCGCCACGUCAUCCACGAGACAACACUGUGGCAUUGGAGACACCAUCCCCAUCUCCUUCACUGGGGGACACAGGACCCCACCCCACAUCCCCCAGUGGGGUGGCCACGUGCCCGUCCCCAAGCAGGACCCUGGGCCACUAGUGGAGGUAGUGACACUGCAGCAUGGGGGGGCCAGCACCCACUAGAUGGUGCCAGCAGCCCACGCUUGGGUGGGGACAGCCACCCCCUUGGUGUCCCACUUGUCCCCUUCUCAUCUCUUUUACCUCUCCCCGUAUAACCAAACCGGCUGCAAGGAUCACCACUUCUGCACCAUUUCCCCAUCGAUGUGGUUUCUGGCGCGGUUCGGAUCGAUGCUUGCUUAAACUCUUAGGGUUUCCCAGUAUCACGGAACUGCGCCAGGCUCCCCUCCAACCUCUGCAUCCUCACUCAGGCAAAAAGAAGUGCCGAUUUCAUUUAAAAAAGGACUUUCCCCUCGGUUUUAAUGCAAGACUCGGUGGUUUCCAACCCUCCUCCCAGCUGGCACCUGGGGGCUUCCCAUUCCUCCCAGCAUCCGCCCGAUGCUCGCCCAUGGGAGGGACCAAAAGCCAAUGGUGACAGCAUCUGAGGGUCACUAUGGGGAUUCAGGGAGGUCCUCCAACCUUCAUUUCUUUCUGCAGUACAUCACCUCCAUUUUGCCCGCGGGAGGAAUCCGUGCUGCUGAGCGUGGUGGCUGCUUGCUCCGGAGCGCGUCAACACGCUCGGAUCUCACCUCUACACCUCUAGAAGUGAAAGGCUGAUUCUCUCCGUGCCAUGCCGGGGGACCCCCCCAAAGCCACCCGGCCCUUGGUGGCACCCCAUGACGAGUGCUGGUCCCUGUAAGCCGGUUAGGUUGGCUCCCAGCUGCUACAAGGCUGAUUACCAGUAUGCUCCCGUUUAUCCCAUGAAAGCCGCCUCGCGCCGUGAAUCCGCCCGUGCCACGGCAUCUAAACCU